Molecule: long non-coding RNA, 563 nt
Organism: Syngnathus acus (greater pipefish)
Lineage: Eukaryota; Metazoa; Chordata; Actinopteri; Syngnathiformes; Syngnathidae
Exons: 2
Source: RefSeq, a predicted model, not a curated record
GCUUUAGAGUCGGAUCCAAUCCUGCUGGAGUCCGACUCAACUGGGCUAUGACAUCCACCAGACCCUCCUGAUCCAAGCACACUGCUUGGAGCUCUGAAUCGCCGUCACGUUCUGGAAUACAUUUAUGCGGUGAUUCCGCCAAGUCCUCACUGAAGAGAAGCCGAUGAGCGAGGUCUUUGCAAUUUGCUCUCCUAGUAAGUUUCUUGCCAUUUUCUUCCCAGUUAUUUUCCCGAAUGCUGAGAAGUUCCUCGUCUUCAGAAACGCGUGCCUUUUUCUGCGCGUCAGAUGCAUUAUUUCCUGGGUCGUCCACUUGCAGGAUCUCGGCAUCAAGAGCCAGCGUGGACUCUCCGACUGCAACACCCUACAGGAUGGAAUCAAGAGACCUCUUGUGAGAGAAGAUACAGAAUAUAAAUACAGUAUACUCAUGUGCAACUCACCAUUGUGCCAUUGUGACUGUGAGCUGGAUCAUCGCUGGUAAAUCGGAUCGGGAAAAGUUAUCACAUAUCUCCAUAAACGCUUGAAAUCAUUUUACAUCUUUUUUAAAAGCUCCAAAAGAAAACUUA